GGAAUAGUAGCAAAGUUGAUCAAUGCAGCAGAUUGAAGGUCUGACAAAACAGGUUCGAUUCCUGUCUAUUCCG
This 73-nucleotide transfer RNA is filed under the name Flavivirga eckloniae. It matches the Rfam family "tRNA". From Rfam's summary of the family: Transfer RNA (tRNA) molecules are approximately 80 nucleotides in length. The record is from Rfam by way of RNAcentral. Lineage: Bacteria; Pseudomonadati; Bacteroidota; Flavobacteriia; Flavobacteriales; Flavobacteriaceae.